This 403-nucleotide ribosomal RNA is filed under the name bacterium. RNAcentral describes it as "partial 16S ribosomal RNA". It matches the Rfam family "Bacterial small subunit ribosomal RNA", at positions 355 to 776 of the family's 1533-position model. The record is from RNAcentral.
UGGGGAAUAUUGCACAAUGGGGGAAACCCUGAUGCAGCGACGCCGCGUGAACGAAGAAGGUAUUCGUAUCGUAAAGUUCUGUCCUAUGGGAAGAUAAUGACAGUACCAUAGAAGAAAGCUCCGGCUAAAUACGUUCCAGCAGCCGCGGUAAUACGCAUGGAGCGAGCGCUGUCCGGAAUUAUUGGGCGUAAAGGGUACGCAGUCGGUUUAAUAAGUCGAAGGUUAAAGAUCGGAGCUCAACCCCGAAAAGCACUGGAAACUGAUGAGCUUGAGUAGGGGAGAGGAAAGUGGAAUUCCUAGUGUAGUGGUGAAAUACGUAGAUAUGAGGAGGAAUACCAGUGGCGAAGGCGACUUUCUGGACACAAACUGACGCUGAGGUACGAAAGCGUGGGGAGCAAACGGG